This 458-nucleotide ribosomal RNA is filed under the name uncultured bacterium. Its description in RNAcentral is "partial 16S ribosomal RNA". It matches the Rfam family "Bacterial small subunit ribosomal RNA", at positions 28 to 507 of the family's 1533-position model. The record is from RNAcentral.
GACGAACGCUGGCGGCGUGCUUCAUACAUGCAAGUCGAACGAGAAGCUGACUUCGGUCAGUGGAAAGUGGCGGACGGGUGAGUAAUAUGUAGGAAAUCUGCCUUUAGGAGGGGGACAACAGAGGGAAACUUCUGCUAAUACCCCAUAUGAGCGUAGCUGAAAUGCUAUUCUUGAAAACUCCGGUGCCUAAAGAUGAGCCUGCAUCUGAUUAGCUAGUUGGUAGUGUAAUGGACUACCAAGGCGACGAUCAGUAGCUGGUUUGAGAGGAUGAUCAGCCACAAUGGGACUGAGACACGGCCCAUACACCUACGGGAGGCAGCAGUAGGGAAUUUUGCGCAAUGGGCGAAAGACUGAAGCAGAAACGCCGCGUGAACGAUUAAGCCCUUCGGGGUGUAAAGUUCUGUCAGUGGGGACGAAACUUGACGGUACCCACAGAGGAAGCACCGGCUAACUCCGUG